This 300-nucleotide ribosomal RNA is filed under the name uncultured bacterium. Its description in RNAcentral is "bacterial SSU rRNA". It matches the Rfam family "Bacterial small subunit ribosomal RNA", at positions 333 to 630 of the family's 1533-position model. The record is from RNAcentral.
AGUUGCCUACGGGAGGCAGCAGUGAGGAAUAUUGGUCAAUGGGCGGAAGCCUGAACCAGCCAAGUCGCGUGAGGGAAGAAGGCCCUGCGGGUCGCAGACCUCUUUGGACGGGGAGCAAGGCCGCCGACGUGUCGGCGGAAGGAGAGUACCCGUAGAACAAGCAUUGGCUAACUCCGUGCCAGCAGCCGCGGUAAUACGGAGGAUGCGAGCGUUAUCCGGAUUUAUUGGGUUUAAAGGGUGCGCAGGCGGCAAGGCAAGCCGGCGGUCAAAUGGCGGGGGUAAAACGAGCGCAGGCGUCGG